UUGGCGCCGGCGUCAACGUGGCGCUGGAGGAGGAGAACUCGGAGUAUGCGAGGAUGAGGGCGGACUGGACGGAAGCAAUGAGGUCGUUACCGAGGAGGUGUUUGCGGUCCGUGAGAAUAAGGGCGAAGACGCGCCCAUCUCCAAGAAGUGAAAAAGGAUACAUAGGAUAGAAAAAAAAAUAAAAAAUAAAAAAAAAUAAAGAAAAAUUUUUUUCUUGAAAGACUAUUAUAUAUCAUCACUGUUACAGAAAAUAUAAUGAAUCAGAGAAGAAGAAAGAAGAAGAUGAUGGUUGUAUUAUUAAAAUAAAGUUGCACUGUUUCACAAAAAAAAAUUGCAUUGUUUAAAAUGAACAUUCCACUCUUUGAGAUGAAAAUUACAUUCUUUGAAACGAAAGUUGUACUUGACAAAAGUUAUACUGUUUCAGAGAAAAUUCCACUGUCUAGCACAGCAAUCACUCU
RNAcentral lists this long non-coding RNA (458 nucleotides) under Ananas comosus (pineapple). RNAcentral describes it as "long non-coding RNA (ACOM_LNC013910)". Lineage: Eukaryota; Viridiplantae; Streptophyta; Magnoliopsida; Poales; Bromeliaceae. The record is from RNAcentral.